RNAcentral lists this ribosomal RNA (253 nucleotides) under uncultured bacterium. RNAcentral describes it as "partial 16S ribosomal RNA". It matches the Rfam family "Bacterial small subunit ribosomal RNA", at positions 524 to 776 of the family's 1533-position model. The record is from RNAcentral.
UACGGAGGGGGCUAGCGUUGUUCGGAAUUACUGGGCGUAAAGCGCACGUAGGCGGCUUUGUAAGUCAGAGGUGAAAUCCCGGGGCUCAACUCCGGCACUGCCUUUGAGACUGCAUCGCUUGAAUCCAGGAGAGGUGAGUGGAAUUCCGAGUGUAGAGGUGAAAUUCGUAGAUAUUCGGAAGAACACCAGUGGCGAAGGCGGCUCACUGGACUGGUAUUGACGCUGAGGUGCGAAAGCGUGGGGAGCAAACGGG